AUGAUCGGCACGAUCCUCCCUCUACCGGCCCCGCCCUCCGAUGGCAACCUCGGUCCCAUUCCCCCCGCCCAGAUCUCCGACGAGAACGAGGAUGACAAGAAGCCCGAAGGCCAGCCGCCCGCUCCCGCCGCCGCCCCGGCGCCGGUGGCAACCCACACGAGAACCAUCGGUAUCAUCCACCCGCCGCCCGACAUCCGGAUGAUCAUCGAGAAGACGGCCACCUUCGUCGCCAAAAAUGGCCCUGAGUUCGAGAAGCGCAUCCUCGCCAACAACGCCGGCAACGCUAAGUUCAACUUCCUCAUUCCUUCCGACCCCUACCACGCCUACUACCAGCACCGUGUCUCCGAAUUCCGCUCCCAGCAGCAGCAGCAGCCUCCCGCCGCCGACUCCGACUCCUCCUCCCUGCAGCAGCAGCAGCCGCCCCCUUCCACGGAUUCCGCCCCCGCCGCACCUUCCGGCGAUUCCGCCGCCAAGCCCGACCUCGCCGCCCCGUUCCACAUCCCCACCCGGAAGGUCCUCGAGCCACCAGAGGCCGAGCAGUACACCGUCCGGCUCCCCGAGGGGAUCACCGGGGAGGAGCUCGACAUCAUCAAGCUCACCGCCCAGUUCGUCGCUCGGAACGGGAAGGUCUUCUUGAAUAAGCUCUCGGACCGGGAGGCCAACAACCCGCAGUUCCACUUCCUGCGGCCCACACACAGCAUGUUCACUUGCUUCACCGCGCUCACCGACGCCUGCUCGAAGGUGCUGAUGCCGCCCAAGGGGGUGACGGAGAAGCUGCGGAGCAGCGCCUGUGACAUGACGUCUGUGCUCGAGCGGUGCCUGCACCGCCUCGAGUGGGAGCGCUCGCAGGAGCAGGCGAGGCAGAAGGCCGAGGAUGAGAUCGAGCAGGAGAGGCAGCAGAUGGCGAUGAUCGAUUGGCAUGAUUUUGUUGUUGUGGAGACCAUCGAGUUUGCUGAUGACGAGGAUGAUGAGCUGCCGAUGCCGAUGACACUGGAGGAGGUCAUAAGAAGGAGCAAGAUGUCAGCUUUGGGUGAAGAGAAAGCCAUGGAAACAGUGGAACCAGGAAAGGAGGUGGAGAUGGAGAUGGACGAAGAGGAGGUCCAGCUUGUAGAAGAAGGUAUGAGGGCAGCAAGACUUGAAGAUGGUGGCAGGGAUGAGAAAAAGGGUGAAGCAGAGGCAGCGGCGGCACCUACUGAUGAACCAGAGCCUCCAAUGAGGAUAGUGAAGAACUGGAAGAGGCCCGAGGAGAGGAUCCCUGCUGAAAGAGACCCGACCAAGUUUACGAUCUCGCCGAUCACCGGUGAGCUAAUUCUGAUCAGUGAGAUGGCCGAACACAUGCGUAUUUCACUCAUAGACCCCAAGUAUAAGGAGCAGAAGGAGAGGAUGAUGGCAAAGAUCCGGGAGACGACUCUUGCUGCGGAUGAUGAGAUCGCUAGGAACAUUGUGGGGCUUGCCCGAACGCGUCCCGAUAUUUUUGGGACAACGGAGGAAGAAGUCUCUAAUGCAGUGAAGGCUGAAAUUGAGAAGAAGAAAGACGAGCAGCCAAAUCAGGUCAUUUGGGAUGGGCACUCUGGUAGCAUUGGGCGAACUGCAACUCAAGCUUUGUCUCAGAGUCUUUCUGGUGAGGAACAAAUUGAUGCUAACAGUGAUGACGGGAGGACCCUUCCAGGCCCUGCUCCACCUCCGAAGCCUGGUGUACCAUUAGUGCGGCCUUUCCCGCCCCCACCACCUGGAUUAGCUCUGAAUAUUCCUCGUUUUCCUCCAAAUGUGGCCCCUUACGCUGCUCUUGCUGCCAGUGGGGGAAUGGUGCCGCCACCACCGCGGCCAGGAAUUAUACCAAUAACUCCAUCUGUGAGGCCUGCAGCUCCACCAAUGCCUAUGACUUCGACCCAGCAGUCUGUUAUGAUGAGCAGGCCUUCAAUGCCCCAGGCGAUCUCAGUGUCACCUGCUAUUCCCAUGCCGCCACCACCUGGGUCGCAGUUCACUCCUUUGGUGGCUCCCCGACCAUUUGUUCCUAUGCCCAUGCUACAUCCUAACAUGCCAACUGUCCUGCCGCCUCCUCUCCCACAAGGAAUGCCACCUCCACCUCCUCCAGAGGAAGCUCCUCCACCGCUACCUGAUGAGCCAGAGCCAAAGAGGCUAAGGACUGAUGAUGUUUCUCUCAUACCAGAGGAUCAUUUCCUCACUCAGCAUCCUGGACCUGCUCGUGUUUCUGUAUCUGUUCCUAAUGUUGAUGAAGGGAACUUGAAAGGCCAGCUUCUGGAGAUCACAGUACUGUCCUUGUCUGAGACUGUUGGCAGUCUUAAAGAGAAGAUUGCUGGAGAGAUUCAGCUUCCUGCUAAUAAGCAGAAAUUGAGCAGCAGGGCAGGUUUUCUAAAGGACAACCUUACACUUGCUUAUUACAACAUUGGUCCUGGAGAAACGUUAUCUCUUGCUCUAAGGGAGCGUGGUGGCAGAAAGAAAUGAUCUCUUCUUCUUUCUUGCUGCAACUUAGGAAGAAGUAGAGUUGUCAGUUAACAAAAUAAUAUUUGGCUUUAUGUGAUGAGGAUUUCUCAGACCUAUGUUCGGCUCCAUGCUUCAUGCUCUGGAGACAUAACUCAUAAUCAAAAUAUGGUUCUGACAGAGUUCAAGAACAAUUUGCUACUAGUUCUGAACCUAAAGUUCUCCCUCUAUGAAGUAGUUCAAAGCAGCUUGCUGGAAGGGAGGGACCAAGGGGCCUGCCAUAAAUCUUAGCAGGUCAUUUCAAGGAAGGCAGACCGAUUGUGUAGAAAUUUAGUAGGUCAUUUCAAGGAAGCAGACUUAUUUGUAGAAAUUUUAAUCUCAUGCAAGCAGAACAACGACCUUUGAGACUCCAAGAAGAUUAGAUUGAUCAUUAGAGUGGAGAUAAAGAGGGAGAAGAUUCCACUAGCGAUUCCGAUGACUUAGGAUGUUAACUAAUUGCUGAAGUCCUAUGCUAAUGAGUGGUAGCAGUAGCCUGUUUGUAUCUCUCUAAUUGCAGAAGGCGGCUUCCUGAAACCUUUCUGUUGUAUAAAUUAUUGCUCUAGCAUAUCUUCAUCUGUUAGUUCAGCACCAAACACUGGCGUAGAGCUGCAAGAGAUUCAGAAGCAAAUCAAAAAAUGCUUAUCACCAGGAAUAGUGUGGGUGCAUCUUGUAGGUCCUACAAUCCAUCUUCCCUCAGCUUGUCUGCUGCUGCAUGUGAGACUGAUGCACUCUCCUCUAAUAAGUUGAAGGAAAAAUAUGCGUCUUCUGCUUUUAAUACCAAGCCUGGUUCCCCAUCAACUUAGUUCAACAGCAAAUGGGGUGUAUAUGGAAAAGUCUGCAGACUUGAUAGGCAACGCAUGGUAGAUGAAGUACAUCUUCACAGAUUUGAUGGCCUACUGGAAAAUGGAGGGGCUCAUCAAUGUGUUAUUGCUAGCAUCACGGUCAAGGCAUCAAUUCAAGAAGUAUGGAAUGUGUUGACCACCUACGAGGCAUUGCCCAAGAUUGUCCCAAAUUUGGCUAUCAGUAAAAUCCUGUGUUGAGAUAAUAAUAAGGUUCGCAUUCUACAGACUAUGAUGUUGUUGGCUGUGCCCUCCUUUGCUGGCAAAAGGAAAAAUGGAACACAAACUUUCCACCUUUAUUGCCUAACCAAUAGAUAAGUUUUACUUCCAAGGCAAGGUUUCUCUCCUUUUUUGACCUUAAAGUUCCUAUCUGUAAGUAUGGAGGCGUGAUCAUCUCCAAAACUUAUUUCGAAUUCUACAGCAUGUACCCAUGUUCGCUUGCUAACCACUUUGCUAAUGUAAUCACUGCAUGCCACAUAGUUAUGACCUUGUUCAAACUGCGAGCAUCAUGUCUUUCUCCAUAGUUACUGUCCUAUCUAAUCUCCAUGUUCCACAUGUCCUCCAUAACAUCUAGUGAAAUAAUGUGGUUAAUAGUUUUUAUAGUAAGACUAUCAUGCUAAUUGCAUAGUGACUUGCUUUAUAAGCAUUGAUGCUGGGAAUAAUAUAUAAUGUUGCAGUUUGAUGCUUUGCCUGUCAGAAUCCUCUCUCUUUCUCAUAUUAUGUCAGGAUGAUGUAAUCUUCAUUUAUGAAUACUUUAUCUUCAUGAAAUUUCUGGACUACGUCCUCUGGUAUGUCAGCUCAAUUAGCAAUUACAGUUUUUGAGAAGAAGAAAAAGAAAAAUUCAUUAUUUUUUGUUUUACAGGGGGGUUGCAAGGGCCUAUUAUAUAUGGUUCUUCAAGCACGUGUUGUUUUGGAUUUGCAUGAAGAACUUGAAUUAGCUUUGAGCAAGUUGAAGGGGUUGCGCUUGUGAGGAGCUAGGGACUUGGAAAUUGGUUUCUUUGACCCCCUAUGAAAGGCUGUGUGUGACACGAAUGGUUCUAUUUUUUUCCCAAUGGCGUUGUAAUAUAGUGGUACUGCCCUAUGAAUUUAUAGAGAAGGAAAGAAAGGAAAAAAGGCAGCUUUGUUUUGGUUUUGGUAAAUUAUUGGAACACAACAUACAGCAAAUAGUUCAACGCUAUAUAACAAGUCCAAAAAGGUGUUAAGCAGUCCUUUUGUUCACUUGGUUGUAUGCCAGUUUGUUGCAAGUAAUCUACAGGCAGCCAGUUGCAGAGGUUUGAUUGCGAAUCACUUAGAUGCAGGCAAUAAGAUGAUUCCAGAAGAACUGGGGAAUGGAUCCUGCUUACAUGCCCAGUAGGAAAUCUUUCGAGCGUGCAGGUGAGGGACAACUGCUGUAUUCUUUAAAAUACUACUUAAUCUUGCUCGGAUGGACCUAUACAGCUGUCGAACUGAUGCUAGAUGGCUGUAAUGGUAAAGGCCGGACAGAAGCCAUGUUCUGGCAGUAAAUUUACUUCAGUUCAUGCCCAACCUUGGAGCACUAGUGUUGGAAGCAGGCAAGCCUUGGAGCCAGCUACUGCAGCCAGUUCGGAAUGCUUGCAUUUUUAACACCUGAACAAAUUUAGGAUCCUUGGAGCCCUAGGAUGUCCUUAGGAGGUGAGAGUAUGGUUUGCAUGCAUGAUGCGAUCGAACUAUUAGAUCUUCAAGAUUCUCAAAGGGUUUCCUGAAUUGAUGCAAGUCAUGGUCUAAAUAAAACGGCGUAGCAUCAAAAGAACUGUUUGGUUCUUUUGAACUGCGAAACCUAAUCUUGCACUGAGUUUUAUAAGGUGGUAUCAUUUUGAAG
Molecule: non-coding RNA, 5157 nt
Organism: Elaeis guineensis (African oil palm)
Lineage: Eukaryota; Viridiplantae; Streptophyta; Magnoliopsida; Arecales; Arecaceae
Source: RefSeq, a predicted model, not a curated record